RNAcentral lists this transfer RNA (69 nucleotides) under Bifidobacterium callitrichidarum. RNAcentral's name for it is "tRNA-Asp". It matches the Rfam family "tRNA". Rfam says of the family: Transfer RNA (tRNA) molecules are approximately 80 nucleotides in length. Their secondary structure includes four short double-helical elements and three loops (D, anti-codon, and T loops). Further hydrogen bonds mediate the characteristic L-shaped molecular structure. tRNAs have two regions of fundamental functional importance: the anti-codon, which is responsible for specific mRNA codon recognition, and the 3' end, to which the tRNAs corresponding amino acid is attached (by aminoacyl-tRNA synthetases). tRNAs cope with the degeneracy of the genetic code in two manners: having more than one tRNA (with a specific anti-codon) for a particular amino acid; and 'wobble' base-pairing, i.e. permitting non-standard base-pairing at the 3rd anti-codon position. Lineage: Bacteria; Bacillati; Actinomycetota; Actinomycetes; Bifidobacteriales; Bifidobacteriaceae. The record is from RNAcentral.
CCCCGUAGCUCAGUUGGUUAGAGCGCCGCCCUGUCACGGCGGAGGUCACCGGUUCAAGUCCGGCCGGGG